CUGUUGUUCUUGACUCUAGUCCAGGUGAAGAGACCUGAGAAUUGUAUAAUAAGUGGGAGUUCCCUGGUGCUCCAGUCCCCAUGUGGGGACAUGGCAGGAUCUUCCAUUCCUGCUGGCCAAAAUACCACUAUUCUUAGCCUUUUUGUACUGAUAGGAGAUGGGGUGGGGGCAUGUUAAGUUGGGAAGGGCUCUGGCUUUUGGCACCAUAUGCUUGCUGCACCCCACUCCAGUAUCAAUGCCAGGUGGGGAGUUUGACUGAGGCAGUACACCUGUUAGACAGUAAUGCAGGUGUCCUAAGAUGAGCUCAGGAGGACAGAAACCUCCCACAGAGCAGGACAAAAGAUGGAUUGAUUUUGACUUUCAGUAGAGUACAGAAUGUAAAAUGGGGGCCUCAUGAUCUUUCUGACCUUUUAUGUUUUAAGCAGGAGAUGUCAGAAUAGUUACCACAG
This 449-nucleotide non-coding RNA is filed under the name Myotis lucifugus (little brown bat). RNAcentral describes it as "Eukaryotic large subunit ribosomal RNA". It matches the Rfam family "Eukaryotic large subunit ribosomal RNA", at positions 2413 to 2823 of the family's 3401-position model. The record is from Rfam by way of RNAcentral. Lineage: Eukaryota; Metazoa; Chordata; Mammalia; Chiroptera; Vespertilionidae.